AACGAACGCUGGCGGCAGGCCUAACACAUGCAAGUCGAGCGAGGACUUCGGUUCUAGCGGCGGACGGGUGAGUAACGCGUGGGAAUGUGCCCUUCUCUACGGCAUAGCCCUGGGAAACUGGGAGUAAUACCGUAUACGCCCUAUUGGGGAAAGAUUUAUCGGAGAAGGAUCAGCCCGCGUUGGAUUAGGUAGUUGGUGGGGUAAUGGCCUACCACGCCGACGAUCCAUAGCUGGUUUGAGAGGAUGAUCAGCCACACUGGGACUGAGACACGGCCCAGACUCCUACGGGAUGCAGCAGUGGGGAAUCUUAGACAAUGGGGGCAACCCUGAUCGAGCCAUGCCGCGUGAGUGAUGAAGGCCUUAGGGUUGUAAAGCUCUUUCAGCUGUGAAGAUAAUGACGGUACCAGCAGAAGAAGCCCCGGCUAACUCCGUG
This 433-nucleotide ribosomal RNA is filed under the name uncultured bacterium. RNAcentral describes it as "partial 16S ribosomal RNA". It matches the Rfam family "Bacterial small subunit ribosomal RNA", at positions 29 to 507 of the family's 1533-position model. The record is from RNAcentral.